This 208-nucleotide unclassified non-coding RNA is filed under the name Hevea brasiliensis (rubber tree). The record is from RNAcentral. Lineage: Eukaryota; Viridiplantae; Streptophyta; Magnoliopsida; Malpighiales; Euphorbiaceae.
GGUCAACUGAGUGCAGCAUUUGCUGCUGAAAUGCAGAAGCUGCCAACUGUUAGAUAUGUCCCCUUUGAUUUUCAUCAUAUAUGUGGCACCACAAAGUUUGAAAAUCUGCAGCUUUUAUACGAUCAAAUCUCAGAGGAUUUUGAAAACCAAGGCUGAGCAGAUACCUCCUCAUAGAUCCAAAAGGAAAUAUACUUCAGGAGCAAAAGGG